AAAGUGCUUCUGCUUACUAAGAUGGGUCACUUAGCGGUAAAAGUAGGAAUGAUUCCGUGGAUGAGCUAAUUAUUUUUGGUGGGGAAGUUAGGUAAAGUUGGUGAAAUGGGUGUUGUAGGUAGAUGAAUUACUCAAAUCAUAUUUUUACUUCCCUUAGGCCUAUAAAUAGUGAGAUUCUCCAAACUUACAAACACACUCCAAGGAGGGAGCUCUCAAACAUCUCUAUAGAGCUCCUCUCCCUUCUCUCCC
RNAcentral lists this long non-coding RNA (249 nucleotides) under Prunus persica (peach). RNAcentral's name for it is "long non-coding RNA (PPER_LNC006543)". Lineage: Eukaryota; Viridiplantae; Streptophyta; Magnoliopsida; Rosales; Rosaceae. The record is from RNAcentral.